Molecule: long non-coding RNA, 7902 nt
Filed under: Vitis vinifera (wine grape)
Lineage: Eukaryota; Viridiplantae; Streptophyta; Magnoliopsida; Vitales; Vitaceae
Description: long non-coding RNA (VVIN_LNC002485)
Source: RNAcentral
CAAUUCUGCGCGCAAUACCCAGUGGAUCUCGUCAUCGUCAAGAAGGUGAUGACCAUAUCGGACGGUAACUUCGCCGUCACUGACGUCAACGGCUCUGUCAUCAUCAAAGUCAAAGGCACUCUCCUGAGCCUCCGUGACCACCGUGUGUUGCUCGACGCCGCUGGCAAGCCGAUCGUCUCUCUCCAAAGCAAGGUCCCAUCAAUUAUUUCUUUGUUUUUCCUUCGUAUAGGAACAUUUUUUCUGCAAAAUACGUGACAGUUUGAUGUUAGUUAUUGGUUGGUUUAGAUGUUGUCGAUGCAUAGGAGGUGGAAAGUGUUUAGAGGAGAAAGCUCAGACCCCAAAGACCUACUGUUCAGUACAAAGUUGUCGUCCAUCAUUCAAUUGAAGACAGCGCUGAAUGUGUUCUUGGCAGCCAAUACAAAAGAAGAGGUUUGUGAUUUCAAGCUCAGGGGAAGCUGGUUCGAUAGAUCCUGCACUGUUUAUGCUGGCAAUUCUAAUACGAUCAUUGCCAAAGUAAGAUCAAAGACCAUUUCAAGACAAUUAUUUUAAUCUAACUGAAUUUUCCCACCUUGUUUAAAGGAUGGUUUGAAUUUGAAAUUAUAUCAAAAUUCUUCCAUUCCUAACAAAACAUUUUGAUGUUGAAUCAAUGAGUGGUGAAUGUGAAUGCAGAUGCACAAGAAAUACAACGUUCAAAGUGUUGUGCUUGGAAAAGACACUUUUGCUGUGACUGUGUAUACCAACGUCGACUAUGCCUUCAUAGUUGCUCUUAUCGUGAUUUUGGAAGAGAUUAACAAAGAUUAAGAUGAUUGAAAGCCCCUUUCUAUGUCCACCAAGGGGCUCUGUGCCUUGUCUGUUGGACUACGAGGUUUGGUGUAUAUGCGCCAAGAAGUCAAAGUAAAUAAUCCCGGGAACCGUACCCUUGGGAGGGCUCUUUAUCCUGAAGUUUAAUAAAUGAUAUUCUCCAUAAACCAUCUGUUGGUUGUGCGCAAUUGUUUGCUGAUGUAUUUGGUUUACGUAUAUAUAAUUGCUGGAAGAGAAAACAUAAAGGGGAAUAAUUAAUUUUCUCUUAAUUAAUUUUUCUUGUAUUUGUUAAAAUGCAUACAUUCUUUAAUAGGGUCUAAUGGAACAUGGUUGCCCACCAAAAAAAAUGUACAUAUUUUUGUGAAGAAUACAUAUACCUUUUUUAAAAUAAAAAUAAAAAAUGUACGUAUCUUUCUUUAAAAUGUAUGUAGGGUUCCAAAUCAUAAUUUAGGGUGGGCGAAAACCUUAAAUUCAUUGUCAAGAUUACCCAAAUGAAUAUUUAGACCCAAAUAGGACCUAAUGGGAUCUCAAUUGGCUUCCAAAAAGACAUGUAUUUUUGUAAGAAAUAUACAUAUUUUUUUCAAGGAUGUACAUAGGGUUCCAAAUUGUAUUUCAGGGUAGGAGAAUGACUCAAAUCCAUUUCCAAGGUUCCUUAAAUGAAUAUUUAGACCCAAAAACAAGCCUAAUGGGGUCUCAUUGGCCUCCAAAAAAUGUACAUAUUUUUGUGAAGAAUGUACGUAUUUUCAUAAGGAUGGAUAAUAUACAUAGGGUUGCAAAUCACAUUUCAAGGUGGGAAAACACCUCAAAUCCAUUCCCAAGGCUCUCCAAAUAAACAUUUUAACCCAAAUGGGCCUAAUGGAGUCUCGAUUGGCCUCACAAAAAAUAUACACAUUUUUGUAAAUAAUGUACGUACUUUUCUUAAGCAUAUACGUAGGAUUCCAAAUCGCAUUUCAAAGUGGGGGAAGACCUAUAUAUUCUUCUAGGGACAUUAAGAAAGUUAUUUGAAGCAUUCCCCCACACCAAAAUGGACUUUGGAACCUCAUAUACAUCCUUAAAAAAUAAUAAUAAUAAGUACAUUUUUCUCAAAAUUAAAAUACAUACAUUUUUUUCCAAGAGUAAUUGGGAAUCCUAUCACCCUUAUUAUGACCUAUAUAUUCAUUUGAAGACCCUCGAGAAGUAAUUUAAGGCAUUCCCUCACCUUGAAAUGAACUUUGGAACCUCAUGUACAUCUUUAAGAAAAAGUAUAUUCUUAAAAAAAUAAAUACAUCUUUCCAAGGGGAACCGAACCUUAAUAACCCUUAUUAUGACUUAUAUAUUCCUUUGUGGACCCUAACCCAAAAGGGACUUUGGAACCUUAGGUAUAUCCUUAAGAAAAAUAAGUACAUUCUUCACAAAAAUAAGUACAUUUUCUCUAAGAGGAACUAAGACCCUAUCUGCCUUAUUAUGACUUAUAUAUUCCUUUGGGGAUUCUCAAGAAGUGAUUUGAGGUGUUCCCCCACUCUGAAAUGGACUUUGGAACCCCAUGAACAUUCUUAAGAAAAAUAAGUACAUUCUUUCUAAGGGGAAUCCAAACCCUAAUCACCCUUAUUAUGACUUAUACAUUACUUUAGGGACCAUAGGAAAGUUAUUUGAGGUGUUCUCCCACUUUGAAAUGGACUUUGGAACCUCACGUACAUCUCUAAAAAAAAUAAGUACAUUCUUAAGAAAAACAAGUCAAUUCUUUACAAAAAUAUGUACAUUUUUUCCAAGGGGAACUAGAACACUAAUCAUGCUUAUUAAGACCUACAUGUUCCUUUGGGGACCCUCGAAAAGUGAUUUAAGGUAUUCUCCCAUCUGUACAUAUUUAAGAAAAAUAAGUACAUUUUUCACAAAAAUACAUACAUUUUUUCCAAGGGGAGUCGAGAGCCCUAUCACCCAUAUUAUGAACUAUAUAUUCCUUUGGGGACACUUGAGAAAUAAUUUGAAGCAUUCCCUCACUCUGAAAUGAACUUUGGAACCCCAGUAUAUUUUUAAGAAAAAUAAGUACAUCCUUACAAAAAAUAAGUACAUUCUUUUCAAAGGGAACCCAGACCCUAAUAACCCUUAGUAUGACUUAUAUAUUACUUUCAAGACCCAUAGGAAAUGAUUUGAGGCAUUUCCCCACCCUGAAAUGGAUUUUGGAACCCCAUGUAUAUUCUUAAAAAAAAAUAAGUACAUUCUUAAAAAAAAAUACAUAUAUUUUCUCUAAGAUGAACUGGGACCCUUAUCACCCUUAUUAUAACCUAUAUAUUCCUUUUGGGAUUCUCAUGAAGUGAUUUGAGGUGUUCCCCUACCUCAAAAUGGACAUUGGAACUCCACAUACAUUCUUAAGAAAAAUAAGUACAUCCCUAAGAAAAAUAAGUACAUUUUUUCCAAGGGGUCGAACCCUAAUCACCCUUAUGAUGACAUAUAUUUCUUUGGGGACUCUAGGAAAGUGAUUUGAGUCGUUCUCCCACUUCAAAAUGGAUUUUGGAAGCCCAUGUACAUCUCUAAGAAAAAUAAGGAUAUUCUUCACAAAAAUAAGUACAUUUUUCUCAUAGAGUACUAGGACCCCAGUCACUCUUAUUAUGACCUAUAUAUUCCUUUGGGAACCCUCGGGAAGCGAUUUAAUAUGUUCCCCCACCUAGAAAAGGACUUUAGAACCCUAUGUACAUUUGUUCUGAAGUGGCCCCAAAUGAAUAUUUAGAUCAUAAUAAGGAUGAUCCAAACUCUUAUUACAUUUGGAAAAAAAUGUACAUAUUUUUGUGAAGAAUGUACAUUUUUUUUUUUUAAGAAUGUAUACAUUUUUCUUAAGGAUAUACAUGGGAUUCCAAAGUCUAUUUCAGGGUAGGGGAACACCUCAAAUCACUUCCCAAGGAUCUGCAAAUGAAUAUGUAGGUCAUAACAAGGGUGAUGGGGGACUCAACUCCUCUAAGAGAAAAAUUACAUUAAUUUGCAAAGAAUAUAUUUAUUUUUCUUUAAAAUGUAAUUAUUUUUAAGGAUAUACAUGGGGUUCCAAAGUCCAUUUCAAGGUAAGGGAACGCCUCAAAUCACUUCCCAAGGGUCCCCAAAUGAAUUUAUAAGUCAUAAUAAGGGUUAUUAGGGUUCGGGUUUUCCUUUGACAGAAUGUAUUUAUUUCUUUUAAAGAUGUAAGUGGGGUUUGAAAGUCCAUUUUGUAGUUGGAGAAGACCUCUAAUCACUUUUCAAGAGUCUCCAAAUGAACAUAUAAGUCAUAAUAAGAGUGAUAGGGUUCCUGGUUCCCUUUGUAAAAAAUGUAUAUAUUUUUGUGAAAAAUGUAUAUAUUUUUGUGAAAAAUGUACUUAUUUUUCUUAAGGAUAUAUGUGGGAUUUCAAAAUCUUUUUUAGGAUGGGGGAAUGCCUCAAAUCACUGCCGAAGGGUCCCUAAAUGAAUAUGUAAGUCAUAAUAAGAGUGAUUGGGGUCCUAGCUCCCCUUUGAAAAAAUGUAUGUAUUUUAUGAAGAAUAUACUUAUUUUUUCUUAAGAAUGUAUGUGAGGUUCCAAAGUUCAUUUUGGGGUAGGGUAAAGCCUCAAAUCACUUAUCAAGAAUCCCUAAAGAAAUAUAUUGGUCAGAAUAAGGGGUGAAUGUGGUUUAGGUUCCUCUUGAAAAUAAUGUACUUAUUUUUCUUAAGGAUGUGUGUGAAGUUCGAAAGUUCAUUUGGUAUUGGGGGAAUGCCUCAAACCACUCCCCAUGGGUCCUAAAAGAAAUAUAUAGGUCAUAAUAAAGGUGAUUGAGGUCCUAGUUUCCCUCAGAAAAAAUGUACAUAUUUUUAUGAAAAUUGUACUUAUUUUUCUUGAGGAUGUACAUAGGGUUCCAAAGUCCUUUUUAGGGUGGGGGAAUGCCUCAAUCACUUCCCAAGGGUCCUAUAUAAGUCAUAAUAAGGGUGAUUGGGGUCCUAAUUCCCCUUAGAAAAAAUGUACAUAUUUUUGUAAAAAAUGUACUUUUUUUUUUUUAAGACUGUACAUGUUUUUCUUUAGAAUGUAUGCGGGGUUUAAAAUUUGAUUUCAGAAUGAGGAAAGGUUACAAAUCACUUCCCAAAGUCCCUCAAUUAACUAUUUAGGACAUAAUAAGGGUCAUUGGGGUUUCGAUUUGCCCUAAAAAGAAUGUACACAUUUUUCUUAAGAAUGUACAUAUAUUUCUUAAGGAUGUACAUGGGGUUCGAAUUUGGAUUUCAGGGUGGGGUAAGGUAAUAAAUCACUUCCCAAAGUCCUCAAAUUUGUAUUUGGGUUAUAAUAAAGAUGACUGGGGUCCUAGUUUGCCCUAAAAAAAAUAUACAUAUUUUUCUUAAUGUACAUUAGGUUUGAAAUUUUUAUUUCAAGGUGCGUCAAGCUUGCAAAUAACUGGUUAAGGUCUCCCACAUGACUAUUUAUGAUAUAACAAGGGUGAUUGAGGUCCUGAUUCACUAUAUAAAGAAUGUGCAUAUUUUUCUUAAGGAUGUAUGUGGGGUUCAAAAUUCGAUUUCAAGGUGGGGUAUAGUCGCAAAUCACCCCCCAAAGUCUCCUAAAUUACUGGGUAGGACAUAAUAAGGUCAAUUGAGGUCUUGAUUUGCCUUAAACAAUGUACGCAUUUUUGUGAAGAUUGUACGUACUUUCGUGAAUAAUGUACAUGAGAUACCAAAUUUGAUUUCAGGGUGAAGGAAGGUUGCUAAUCACUCCCCGAUGUCCCCUAAAUGACUAUUUAGGAUAUAUAUAUAUAUAUAUAUAUAUUUCUUUGCCUCAAAUUGCUUCCCAAGGUCCCCAAAUGACUAUUUAGGACAUAAUAAGAGUGAUUGGGUCCUAAUUCACCCUAAAAAGAAUGAAUGUAUUUUUCUUAAGGAUGUAUGUGAGGUUCGAAAUUUGAUUUCGAGGUAGGAUAGAGUCGCAAAUUACUCCCCCAAGGUCCCCUAAAUGACUAUUUAGGACAUAAUAAGGGUUAUUAAGGUUCAGAUUUGCCAUAAAAAUGUAUGUAUUUUUUAUGAAGAACAUACGUAUUUUGAUGAAGAAUGUAUGUAUUUUCCUUAAGAAUGUAUAUGAAGUUUGAAAUUAGAUUUAGUGGCAAGAUCAUCUAAAAUUUAAUAUUCUUUGAAUAUUUUAUUUCAUGUAGCCGCAUGAUGAACUUUAUUAAUAUAUUACUUCUAAAUUUAUAUUGAAAUCAUCAAUUAUAUUAAAUAAAAAUAUAUUGUAUAACAUAAAAAUAAAAAAUAAAAAUCUUUAGCCAUAUAUCAAACAUAAAAAAUUUAAAAGUUAUAUCUAAUAUGUAUUUUAAUUAUUGCUAUGAGAUUAUGACAAAUAUCCGUAACUUGUAAAAUUCAAAAAUAAUAAUAAUAAAAAGAAAUUUCACAACAAGAAAUAUGAUUUAUAGAUUAUAUAAAAAAUCGAGGAAAUUAAAAAAAAAAUUAAUCAUAAAAAAAAUAACAAAAGUUCUUGUUUUCUAAUAAAAAAAAUAAUUAUUAUCUUUUUAUUGUAGAGUAUUUAUAUACUCUUCUAUUCUUAAAAAUUAUAAGUUGAAUACUAAAAAACCUAUAAAAAAAAUUCAACUUUUUGUCUAUUGUAUUUUAGGUUAUCUUUUAUUUGUUCUCAAUUGAAAUUAAAAAAAAAAGUUUUAGAAGGAAAAUUGUGGUGGUUGGAGGGGAAAAAUAUUGUUAAAUGAUAUAAAAAGUGAAAGUGUCGAGGAGGAGUUGUGAUUCUUUGAUUUUUUUAUUUUUUAUUUUAAUUAAAAAGAUGAUACCUUCUUUAAUGUUUUGUCACAUCAAAAAGGGUAAUGGUAGAAUUCUUAUCAUGAAUAUUAUCUAAGUGCACGUUGAAAGAAUAAUUUUACCUAUUGUAUAUUUGAUAUAAAAUGUGAAAGUUACAACUCUUAAAAGCCUCUUUUUUUUUUUUUAUUGGUGUAUGGAAGUAUGAUUUUUUCUUUUAUUUUAUAAAUUUAAAAUAAUAAAAAAAUUAAUUUUUUUUAAAUAAUAUAAAUAUUAUAUAAGGUAUUUAAAUUACUCUUGAAGUAUUUUAUUACUACAUAUAAUUAAUUAACUAUAUAAAAAUAUGAAAGAGUGAUUAUUUUGCUAUCGUUUUAGCACUUAUAUUUGCACUUUCUAUUUUUGUUAUAUUAAUAAAAAACAUUUAGUGGCUUAUUCUAUCUUAAUUAUAAAAAAUUUAGGGAGAAUUAUGUUUUGGGGGUAGAUGGGCCCCCAAAUUAACAAAAGGUCCAUGUAACUCUUCAAAUUGAGCCCAAGAUCCAAUGAAAGUAUGGAAAUUGAGUUGAAGGAUAUCAUCCUUCAGUAUUUCCAAAAAUGUCCUUUGUUGAUUUUGAGAAAAAAAAAAUUAAUAUUUUUGAAAAAUACUUUUAUUUAAUUUAAUAUUUUUGAUUUAAUUUAAUAUUUUUAAAAAAUAUUUUUAUGUAAUUUAAUAUUUUUUAAAAUACUUUUAUUUAAUUUAAUAUUUUUUAAAAAUAAAUUUAUUUAAUUUAAUAUUUAAAAAAUAUUUAAUUUAAUAUUUUUUUAAAUACUUUAAUUUAAUUUAAUAUUUUUGAAAAAAAAUUAAUUUAAUAUUUUUGAAAAAAAUUAUUUAAUUUAAUAUUUUUGAAAACUACUUUUAUUUAAUUUAGUAUUUUUGAAAAAAAAUAUUGAAAAAAAAUUAUUUAACUUAAUUUUAUAAAAUAUUUUAUAUGUGUUCUUAAAGGGUAUAUUUGUCCGUUACUAUUUCAUAUCCUUCAACUCAAUUUGAAGAAUUAUAUGGAUUUUUUGUUAAUUUGGGGGUCCAUCUACCUGCAAAAGAUAAUUCUCUAAAAAAUUUAAAGGGAUAAGGAAAUUUUAUGAAAUUGUUUCGUUUUUUAGAAAUAGAUAAAUAGGAAUCAUUUGGUUUUGGACAGCUAACCAUGCACGCGUGUCAGACGGCCAAGAGGGAAUAACCAGAUGUUCUACUAAAGCAAGUACCCCUGACCUUCACGCCCAGCAGACAAGACUCGAGCAAUAACCAAACCCUAAAUCUCAAUCCUUUCACCAUGGCCACCGAUCCAACCGCCGCAGGUCCCGUGACAGUGCCCGCUGCAGCCUACCAGCCGUUACCAAACCCAAUGACCGUCGUGGGGCCGCAAUUCUGCGCGCAAUACCCAGUGG